Molecule: non-coding RNA, 30 nt
Filed under: Mus musculus (house mouse)
Lineage: Eukaryota; Metazoa; Chordata; Mammalia; Rodentia; Muridae
Source: RNAcentral
UGCUCUACAAGAAAUAGUGCAGAACACGGC